RNAcentral lists this ribosomal RNA (466 nucleotides) under uncultured bacterium. Its description in RNAcentral is "partial 16S ribosomal RNA". It matches the Rfam family "Bacterial small subunit ribosomal RNA", at positions 28 to 523 of the family's 1533-position model. The record is from RNAcentral.
GAUGAACGCUGGCGGCGCGCCUAACACAUGCAAGUCGAGCGAACCUUUCGGGGUGAGCGGCGGACGGGUGAGUAACGCGUGGGUAACCUGCCCUAUACAAACGGAUAACGUACCGAACGGUACGCGAAUACGGGAUAAAGUUGAUGGAUGGCAUUAUCUCACAACCAAAGCUCUGGCGGGCUAGGAUGGACCCACGUCUGAUUAGCUAGUUGGUGAGGUAAUGGCUCACCAAGGCGACGUUCAGUAGCGGCCCUGAGAGGGUGAUCGGACACACUGGAACUGGGACACAGUACAGACUCCUACGGGAGGCAGCAGUGGGGAAUAUUGCACAAUGGGCGAAAGCCUGAUGCAGCAACGCCGCGUGAGCGAUGAAGUUCUUCGGAUCCUAAAGCUCUGGCCUCAAGGAAGAUAAUGACGGUACUUGAGGAGGAAGCCCCGGCUAACUACGUGCCAGCCGCCGCAGUAA